CAGCCCCAGCAUAACUCACCAGGGAAUUCUCUGUAUUUGACUGCAAGAAUGCCUGGUGUUCCAAUCCAUUCAGUAUUUCUGUUAGAACUCCAAGGACUGGAUCAGUUCUUGCUGAGUGAAUAUGGAAAUCAGGUCCCAGUCUGGAUUCACCUCCAGAGAAGCACAAAUGUGUUGUGUUUGUUAGGAGAGAUCUGUGUUUGCACACACGUGCCCACAAACACACACACACACACACAAUGGCCCUGUGCAGCCAUGUCAUUUUAUACAUAACAUUAAUCAGAUAUGUACUUUCAAAUGCACUAAUGCAAAUUAUGUCAUUUAUUUCUGUCUUUAUGAAAUUAAUGUGACUCUUUUCAACUUUGGGAAGUUCAGGUACAAACCCAGCAAGAUGGAUUUGCUUAGGGAUGUUAUAUCCACGUUAUUCCAAGCUGAGCCUCCCAUUCUUCCAAAAUACCCCCAUAAAACCAGCCCCAAAUUUCACCUCCAAAAACAACAGAGAAUCUGUCCUUGGUUAUGGAGAUCAGCCCAGCAAUGUGCCUGCUGAGCUUUCAGCCAUACAUACCUGAAAUUCCUCCCAGUUUGCUCUCUGUUGCGCUCAUGUGCAGCAGAGCUCACAUCCAGCAAGCCCAGGAGUGUGGGGCCUGUGGGACAUUCACAGAGCCUGCAGUGGGAACCAGCAGGAGAUCAUCCCACCAGCCCUGAACUGGAAUUCCAGAGCGUUGGGCCCAGGGUUGAGGGUUGGGGAUAUUGGCUCUUCCAGAGACACUGGGUUUGGGAGUCCUUUGGGAAGGACUUUAACCUUUGUCUCAGGAGGAAACACAACAUUUCAGAGGGGACAAAGGCACUCUGUGCUCCUGUUGUACCUCUUGAGGACCUGAGGAUGGUGGGGCACAGGCUCCUCUCUGUCACAUUCCUGGGUGAACACAGCUCUUCUUUCCCUCUGCAGCUAUCAGCCUUCAGGAGUCAAAAUUCCCUUUCCAUGGAUGUUCUUGGAGCUGUCUUCAGACUUGCUGCUUCAAAGCUACCACGAAAUGCACCUAAGUCAGUAAAUCUAUUUAUUGGAAUGGUCAUACAGGACUGCAGCAAUGAGACACAAAUAUAAUCCAAUUCCAGCCUCUUCAAAGCAGGAAGGAAUAAACAUUUAGCUCCGUUCCCCAUGAAAUUUGAGUAAAAAUGGGAAACCAUAAGGAUGUAUGUGACAAAGAAGAGGCCAUUCAAGAGACAACACGAAUAAAUCUUAGCAGUACCUCAACAAGGACAGGAAGGGAGAGCAGCAGCCAGGAACUCUCCUCCAUCCAAGGGACAGACCAGGCCAGGAGCUGCAGAAAGGAAACCUUGGCCUGGAGGGCCCACAUGCCAUGAAAAUUCCCUACAAAUGGGAGAAUUUCCCUGUGACAAGUCAGCCAACAAAUCAGGCCUUGCCCUGAUGUCCUGGUGUUCCUGUCCCAAUGCCUGGAGCAGGCUCAUGUCCCAAUCCCAGGGAAAAAAUCCAUGGGAGGACCCGGCUACUGCCAAGGGAACCAAACUGAUUUGGCUCACAAGGAAUUUGCAUGCAAGGAAUCAGGCGAGCUGAAAUAAGGCUGAAAUGUUAAUGAACGUCUGGAAAGCACUAGGAAAUCCUUGGAUUAGAGGUAUCCUAGGAACACAACACAGUCGGUGACAGCAGAUAAGGUCAGCCUGGGGAUUGCAUUCAGUUUUAUCUAAAAAUCCAACUUUGCAUGCGGUGACUCAACAAAAAUGUAAUAAAUGUAAAUCGUGUAACAGUGC
Molecule: long non-coding RNA, 1767 nt
Organism: Parus major (Great Tit)
Lineage: Eukaryota; Metazoa; Chordata; Aves; Passeriformes; Paridae
Exons: 2
Source: RefSeq, a predicted model, not a curated record